RNAcentral lists this ribosomal RNA (487 nucleotides) under uncultured bacterium. RNAcentral describes it as "bacterial SSU rRNA". It matches the Rfam family "Bacterial small subunit ribosomal RNA", at positions 28 to 507 of the family's 1533-position model. The record is from RNAcentral.
GAUGAACGCUAGCGGGAGGCUUAACACAUGCAAGUCGAGGGGCAGCAUAGGGUAGCAAUACUCUGAUGGCGACCGGCAAACGGGUGAGUAACGCGUAUGUAACCUACCCUGUACAGGGGGAUAACCCGGAGAAAUUCGGACUAAUAUCCCAUAACAAUAUCCGGGGGCAUCUUUGGAUAUUUAAAGUUCCGGCGGUACGGGAUGGGCAUGCGUAACAUUAGCUAGUUGGUAAGGUAACGGCUUACCAAGGCUUUGAUGUUUAGGGGUCCUGAGAGGGUGAUCGGCCACACUGGGACUGAGACACGGACCAGACUCCUACGGGAGGCAGCAGUGAGGAAUAUUGGUCAAUGGGCGCAAGCCUGAACCAGCCAUCCCGCGUGCAGGAAGACGGCCCUAUGGGUUGUAAACUGCUUUUCCAGGGAGAGAAACUUACGCACGUGUUGCGUGACUGACGGUACCCUGGGAAUAAGCAUCGGCUAACUCCGUG